UUCUUAUGCCUCGUUUACCUGAUCAUUAAUUUUAAAACCUCGAGCUGUUAGAAAUAUGCAACUAAUUCACUUAGAUUUCGAUGAUCGAAACUCGAUCCAACCAGCCUCACGCCACUUAAAACAUGACUCAGCCUAACCCGACCUCCCGCCAUUUGAACGUGUCUCGAUCCAACUUGACCUCCAGCCACAGGGCAGGUUGCUGGCUCCUUUAAUUAAGCCAACAAUAGAUGCUUCCGUAUUCCUAUAAAAUAUACCUAGAAUAUUUAAUUUAAUUUGUUUAAUGCACGAUCAUAAUUUCAAAUAUAUCUCUCCAAAAUUCUAAAAAUUUUAUUGAAUAUAAAAAAUAAAAUUAUUGUCCUCCGAUAGCUUAACCUUCUGA
RNAcentral lists this long non-coding RNA (379 nucleotides) under Ananas comosus (pineapple). RNAcentral's name for it is "long non-coding RNA (ACOM_LNC009943)". The record is from RNAcentral. Lineage: Eukaryota; Viridiplantae; Streptophyta; Magnoliopsida; Poales; Bromeliaceae.